UACGGAGGGUGCGAGCGUUGUCCGGAAUCACUGGGCGUAAAGGGCGCGUAGGCGGCCUGGCAAGUCGAUGGUGAAAGCCCGUGGCUCAACUACGGGUCGGCCAUUAAUACUGCUAGGCUCGAGUCGACUAGAGGCAGAUGGAAUUCCGGGUGUAGCGGUGGAAUGCGCAGAUAUCAGGAGGAACACCGGUGGCGAAGGCGGGUCUCUGGGCAACAACUGACGCUGAGGAGCGAAAGCGUGGGGAGCGAACAGG
Molecule: ribosomal RNA, 253 nt
Filed under: uncultured bacterium
Lineage: Bacteria
Description: partial 16S ribosomal RNA
Rfam family: Bacterial small subunit ribosomal RNA
Source: RNAcentral